AUGGUUCUCAGGAACAAAAUGCCCUAUGCAAAAGAGAAAGGCAAACAGAGACAUAUGGAUUUCAUCACAGAAGAAGCAAAACUCUCCAAGCCGUGUAAAUGUCUCAAAUGGAUGUUCUUCUGGAAACUCACCCUUCACCUGCUUCUAAAGGCAACUUUCAGGGGCCAGAUAACUUACUAAGUACAGAAAAUUCAAGGCUAGAACAGAAGAGCAGGAUGCCAACUGUGUUUUGCCUUGAUGGAAGGUCAGAGAAACGGAUCUUUCAUCCUAUCUUCAUCAACCAAAAUCACACUGAAGAACAGCUGGACAGUUUUGAGGGCAGCACUUCAUACAGGGUAAGACUGCAUUCAGUGAAUAAAGCUAAAUAAAUAUAGUAGACUUCAGAGUAAAAAGAACAUUUUCAUGGUACAGAUCCAAUGGCAGUUGCAGACCUUACACAAAGAAGAGAUUUUCAGACUCUUGUCUAGUGCUCAAUGAAUUUAUAUCACUUCCAAAACUUUUAUCUCAGAAUACCAGAAGAGAGAAAGACUUCAUCUCACAGCAUCUGGGUAAAGCGUUGCCCUAAAAUUUCUCUGAAGAACAAUGUUUCUCUACUUCCCAUUUUUAAUUUAAUUUUUCAUGUGAUGUUUGCAUUC
This is a long non-coding RNA of Sciurus carolinensis (gray squirrel), 635 nucleotides long. RefSeq lists it as uncharacterized. The record is from RefSeq and is a predicted model, not a curated record. Lineage: Eukaryota; Metazoa; Chordata; Mammalia; Rodentia; Sciuridae. The transcript has 3 exons.